This 306-nucleotide ribosomal RNA is filed under the name Triticum aestivum (bread wheat). RNAcentral's name for it is "partial small subunit ribosomal RNA". Lineage: Eukaryota; Viridiplantae; Streptophyta; Magnoliopsida; Poales; Poaceae. The record is from RNAcentral.
UUAGUGAGAACAAACUUCAUACCACCAGAUGCAGAUGCAAUACUGAACAUACCACCCAGACAUGGUGGAGGUGAUGAUUUUUGGGCGUGGGCUUAUGAGAGAUCCGGGACAUAUUCUGUCAAAUCCGCGUAUCGUGCUCUAAUGACUCGUAACGAACAUCAAGUUCUAGAGGAAGGGGCGAUCACUGAAUCUUCAGAGACUGACAAACAGAUGUGGACACGGCUAUGGAAGCUCAAAGUUCUGCCCAAAGUUAGGGUUUUUGGUGGCGCGUUCUACGAGGUAUUCUACCAGUGGAAUCCACACUGA